AGUGAACGCUGGCGGUAGGCCUAACACAUGCAAGUCGAACGGCAGCACAGUAAGAGCUUGCUCUUACGGGUGGCGAGUGGCGGACGGGUGAGGAAUACAUCGGAAUCUACUUUUUCGUGGGGGAUAACGUAGGGAAACUUACGCUAAUACCGCAUGCGACCUACGGGUGAAAGCAGGGGAUCUUCGGACCUUGCGCGAUUGAAUGAGCCGAUGUCGGAUUAGCUAGUUGGCGGGGUAAAGGCCCACCAAGGCGACGAUCCGUAGCUGGUCUGAGAGGAUGAUCAGCCACACUGGAACUGAGACACGGUCCAGACUCCUACGGGAGGCAGCAGUGGGGAAUAUUGGACAAAGGGCGCAAGCCUGAUCCAGCCAUACCGCGUGGGUGAAGAAGGCCUUCGGGUUGUAAAGCCCUUUUGUUGGGAAAGAAAAGCAGCAGGUUAAUACCCCGCUGUUCUGGCGGUACCCAAAGAAUAAGCACCGGCUAACUUCGUG
RNAcentral lists this ribosomal RNA (492 nucleotides) under uncultured bacterium. RNAcentral describes it as "partial 16S ribosomal RNA". It matches the Rfam family "Bacterial small subunit ribosomal RNA", at positions 29 to 507 of the family's 1533-position model. The record is from RNAcentral.